Spinacia oleracea (spinach) is the source of this 986-nucleotide long non-coding RNA. RefSeq lists it as uncharacterized. Lineage: Eukaryota; Viridiplantae; Streptophyta; Magnoliopsida; Caryophyllales; Amaranthaceae. The record is from RefSeq and is a predicted model, not a curated record. The transcript is spliced from 4 exons.
UAGUUAAUUAUAUUUGAAUAGAAUUUACGAAUUUUAGAAAUAAAUAUUUAAUUAACGAAUAUUUAUUUUUAUACGUUUUAAAUGUUUUAAUGAUUUAUGCAAUGUAAAAUAAUUUUAGAAUUCUAUGUUGAAAAGACUUUGAAUUUCGAAAACACAUUUGAAAUUGGGAAACCAAGCCUAAUCGAUUUUGGAUUCAAAUACUAAAAGUAAAUCCUAAUCCUAGCCCAAAUUGGUGAAGCCCAAAACAAAUAAACCCAAAAUAAACCCAUAACUCUCUCUCCUCUCCUUCACUCACGUAAAACUCAAAGGAAACAAAAACCCUCUUUCCCUCUUCUUCCUGCUGCACGUGAACAGGAACCUCAAGCCCCUCUUCUCGUCGCCGCCGUCCAGCCGACCACCGUCGUCCUUUACCGAAGCCUCAGCCGCCGCCUCCGCGCCACCGCAGUAUCCGCCCAGUCAUUGCUGCGCCGCCGCGUCCUUCGCCCACACCAGAAACCUCUCCUCUCCCUUCGUUCUCCUCCACGCACGCAACGACAUUCCCUUCUCUCGUUGCUUCUUUCUUCCUGCCCCACAAACUCAGCCGUCGCUGCACGGCCACCGCAACCACCAGCAGCGUCACUCAGCCGCUGCACCACCUGCCCGCUUGUUGCCGCACCACCUUGUCCACCGGCAGCUUCUUGUUUUCUCUCUUUGGUGGAGAAUUCUCCGUAGGCGACUUUUGAAUUAUUAAAGUGGUCUUGCAGUUUGUUUACACAAGUCUCUAAGGAUCAAUAAGCAUUGUCCAUCUGCAGGUUUGAAGAUGUUGCAUCAUUGGGAUCGGGAAUAGAGAGCUUGUAUUUAGUUUUGAUUUGCUAAGUUGACUUGGGUUUGUUUAAAUGGACUUUAAACUUGUCAUACUAUUUAUAUUUCCUUAUUUUCGUUGGUUGAUUUUUGAGACUAAACCUGUAAUCGAUUAUUUAUAAACCUAAAGUUAGUUUUAUGUUUUC